This 1584-nucleotide long non-coding RNA is filed under the name Pogonomyrmex barbatus (red harvester ant). RNAcentral's name for it is "uncharacterized LOC105427363". The record is from RNAcentral. Lineage: Eukaryota; Metazoa; Arthropoda; Insecta; Hymenoptera; Formicidae.
UAUAUAUAUAUAUAUAUAUAUAUAUAUAUAUAUAUUGAAGCAUGAACGACAAGUAAGAUAUUAUAUGCACGUGUAAAAGAGGAUAUAGAUUCAGAAAAGAGAAAUAUAUAUAUAUGCCAGACAUAAUAUACACAAGAGGGUAAGUUUUUAUUACGGACUCUAUUGUCAUUUAUUACACGUACAAUCGAUAAAUGUGUGAUAGAGACGUUUGCCUUUUAUCCUUCAUCAUCUCUUUUUCUUUUAUUGUAUUGUGUUAUACUUUUAUUUCGUCAUCUGAAUAUUUUUACACAGAGAUAUACAUGACGGAGCUCCCAGUGAUGAUGAUUGAACACAAUUUUCGAUUUAUAAAUUAUAUUGUUACUCGAAUGUAUUUGUAAAAGUGGGUAUAUACGAGGGCGAACGAUCAACGAAGGCGAACUCUUAAAAUCUCAAAGAUGUUCAUCAUAAUGAAUGAAUGGGAAAUGUUUAUUAACAUUACUUCAUUCGCGCUCGCGAAUCGAUUAAUAUAGGAUAGUACAUCAAAGAAAGUUUCAGAGAAAAAUUUAUCUUUAUAUUUUUCGUCGUUUGUUGCUUGUUCGUCCAGUCUAUAUCCGCCUGGAAAGAUGUGAUCUUGGUUUUGUACUGACUGAAAUUUUUCAGGACGCUUGCGUUAUGCGUGCCCGAGUGCAGAAUGCAAGGGACUGACAUGGGGGAUUGUAUAAUGUACAAGCACGUCCAUGUAUACACAUCCCCGCGGUCAGCGAUAUGAUAGUUACGACAACGUGAAUCGUACACUUGCAUUAUAUUUCCAUUGUGUAGCAAAACAUGAUGAUUAUUAAAUACAUGAUUGUGUAUCGAAAACACACGCGUAUAUACAUAUGCCGAGACUGCUUCGAAGAUCUCUUAUCGUACAUACAUUUGUUUUUUCUCUUUAUCUCUUUUCUCUUGUUUUUAAAUACAGUGCCAGUAAUUCUUGCAUCAGGUCGUGGAAAGGGGGAAGAACGCAGCGAGAAAUUGACAUUUCCAUGCUCACGAUAGAGAAAGAGAGAGAGAGAGAGAGAUAAGAGCUCACUGCGGGUACUCGAUUCUGGUGUAUUUGGAUGGAGUAAAUGUUAGAUUUUCAAAGCAAUCUGUUUAAUAUAAAGCUGAUGAUGUAUGAGGGACAAUGUAUUUUGAUUUCGUGGUGAAAAUAUAUUUGACGAAUUACAAAAAAAAUAUGGAGUACAUACACACGAUGCCCCAUUCCACGAAGAAAGAGAGAGAGAGAGAAAGGAAAAAAAGGGAUAAUACUAUUAAUUGGAUCACGUCAUGCGUGCGAUAUAUUUCGAGAUGCGUCCCGCUUGUAUAAUAUAAUUAUGACACACAAACGUAUUGCUGUGUCGAAACACACCGCUGACGUCCGUUCGACCAGCGAGCAGACGUCGGAAGUGAUUUUUAUCGUGCGCUUCGCUAAUAUUAUCACUGUUGUUAUUAUAUGUUUAGUCUGACUUUCGAAACACACGAAUUGUAAGUGCUAGUUGAUACGACCUAUACGUGUGCCUGCGUGCGUGUGCGUGCCUCCCCCGUCAUUCCCCUCCCCGUUUAUUUCUCGAUUAGGAAAAAAAA